GACGAACGCUGGCGGCGCGCCUAACACAUGCAAGUCGAACGGAGCUAUUUCGACAGAUCCCUUCGGGGUGACAUUGGCUUAGCUUAGUGGCGAACGGGUGAGUAACACGUGAGGAACCUGCCCUUCAGAGGGGGACAACAGUUGGAAACGACUGCUAAUACCGCAUGACGCUUCUUGGGGGCAUCCCUGAGAAGUCAAAGCUUUAUGUGCUGAAAGAUGGCCUCGCGUCUGAUUAGCUAGUUGGUGGGGUAACGGCCCACCAAGGCGACGAUCAGUAGCCGGUCUGAGAGGAUGAACGGCCACAUUGGGACUGAGAUACGGCCCAG
RNAcentral lists this ribosomal RNA (326 nucleotides) under uncultured bacterium. RNAcentral's name for it is "bacterial SSU rRNA". It matches the Rfam family "Bacterial small subunit ribosomal RNA", at positions 28 to 334 of the family's 1533-position model. The record is from RNAcentral.